Molecule: long non-coding RNA, 8919 nt
Filed under: Homo sapiens (human)
Lineage: Eukaryota; Metazoa; Chordata; Mammalia; Primates; Hominidae
Description: non-protein coding LINC01852:15
Source: RNAcentral
AGAGGCUGUAUGCGAGAGGAAUGGAAAUGAGCCUCAGGCCCUGCCGAAGGAGCCCCAUCCCCUUCCCCGCGCGGGGCUGAGGAAUGCUGGCCAGCCGGAAAGGAACCCUCGCUGGGAACGCCGCUCUCGCGCCUCUGAAACCCCAUUGAGAAGAACCCUUUGAUGCAAUUAAAGCGCAUUUCAUUGCAGGCCUGGGAGGAGGGAACGACCGGCAAGCUUUUUUCUGUCUCGGACGUGUGUAUGCACCUUUGUGGGCCGGGUUACUUAGAGACCAGGCGGGAACUUGAGCUCCCUCUCUCGCAGACGUUCUGUAACAUCAGAAAAGCGUACCCAUAAACAGAUUGGUUUUCACCAGGGGUGGAACUCAAUUUGGACACGAUCCAGGCUGACCUGCAGGCCGGGGUUCCUACUUUGAAAGGCUCUUUGGUGCGCCUUACACCCACCUUCCCUGCUGUAAAGGUUUAGGCGGAAAAGAAAUUGCGUUUGCAGGAGGAAGUUGUUUCUGAGGUUACUGCUCAGCAUUUUCCAUUUUCUCAGUGGUGGGGUGGGCCGUGUCGCAUAUCCAGAAGUGAUGUCACAGCCAGACCUGCAAAAUGAUGUAACCUGCAAGUGUUGAAGGACGACGAUGGGACAGCUAUUUUGAUACUCGUAUUAUUUUAUAACAUUUCCCUGCUUUUUCCAUUGAGACAACUGUGUGACCUCAGAAAAUCCACAUAGCCUCUCUGAACUUAGUAUUUUUGUGUGUGUGUUAAAAUGAGUAUCACAAAGCCGGAGAACGAAUGUGAUGAAGUUCUGGGUGCUUGUGGAAUUCUUUCUAAGUUGGAGGUGGACACUUUAUCUACCUGCACAGGUGGAAGAUAUGUGGGUCUGGAACUCCGUGUAUGCCUCCUUGAGAACAUGAACCUUUAAACAACAACAACAACAAUAACAACACGAAGACAAAGUCCUGUCUGCUCUCCCAGGCUAGAGUGCAGCGUGCAAUCGUGCAAUCGCAGCCUACAGUAAGAAGCCAGAAACGUGAAGAGAAGACCUCGCCUUGAUUUGCCAGAUGACCCCUGGCCUUUUUAGUCAAGUUCCUGGAGAAGUUAGGGUGGAGACUUAUUUGUCCUGUGUUUGGGGCAAUAAAAGGGGAGGGGCCGCCUCCUCCAGCCUGUUCUAAAAAGCCAAAAAGCAAGGCUAUUUACUCAGACCUGGGCUACUAAGUGCUGGGGUGGCCCAUGUUGACUUAAAUGAGCCCUUGCAGUUAGGUGGGGCUCUCUGGAGCUGUUAGUCAUGUGAGGUUGCCAGGGCAACUUAAUGUCUUAUGAGUUGGAAUGCUUCAAGAAGUACAAAGAGGAGACUGCAAGAGUGCAUUACAACUUACAGUCAUAUGUUCAAUAACAUGUCAUCUUUCCUAAUGGGGCUUUUAUUUUUAUUUUAUUUUGUGGGAUUGAAAGAUCAGAAGCCGGAAAUUAUCUGGAGAGGAUAAAGAAAAGGAAAAAUUAAAGGAGGGGGCUAUUUCUGUUCCUUAUGUGGGCAGCGAUUAAACAAGGAGAACAUCUGGUCCUGGAGCGGGUCUCUGCAGCACUGCUUUUAAUUACCCCGUCAUUUGGUCUCAUGCUAAAUUAGUGACUGUGGGAGCAGCUUAGAUCUCCAAACUGACAGCCCCGAAGAGCUCAACUCAGCCUGCCACAUAGUCAGAGGGGAAACACGGAGCUUCCGGUUUCAUAUUUAAACCAGGGAUUGACUCAUAAUUGUAGCUGUCAGGAGGGUGAUGGAGACAUUAUGUAAUCUGGUUCUUAUGGCGAUGUGUGUUUAAGGUUUCUGCUCUGUAAAUUCCAGAGGAAAUUUUGUGUCCAUUGAGGGAGAGCUUGCUGGCUGCUCUGUGGUGUGCCCUGCAGGGUAAUUACAGUGCUAUUAAAGGUUCCUAAAUCUGCCUGAAUCCAAACAUGAAUGAAUUUCCCCCUGAAAGGCCCUCCUGUUUUUCCAUAGACUUUUAAAUGUGGAUGAGGUUAGGCGAAAUCUGGCAAACUGCAAAGAGGCAGUAUGCUGGCCCAAUAGGGAAAUGUAAUAAUGGCAAGCCAUUCAGGUCCACAACUAUUUUUUUUCUGGACCACAUAGCUUCCCUUACUAUUUCCCAUCAUUUCCAGUCUCAGAGAUUCUGAAAGCGGACACCAGUUGCUUCUGGAAACAAAGGAUGAAGCUGUGGAUCAUUAGUUCCAUUUUCAUGCUGCUUGUUACUUGCCUCUCAGAGGUUUCAGCACCUCUGUGGACUGGUGUAAGUUUGCAGGGCAGCCAGGGAAGGCUUGAGGCAGAUCCAGUGUUUGCUGCCAUCAAAAAAAAAAAAAAAAAAGAAAAAAAAAAAAAGAAAAAGAAAGUCAGAUGAGGCUGUUUAAUUUUAAACUAAAAAGAAUGUGCUUUUAACUAUUUUGCUUCAGGGAGACUUGUGGUAUGAUGUGAUUGUUCUCUGUACCCAAGUAAUAUAAGUUUUGGCUGCAUGAUAAGAAGGAUUCAUUCAUAGAGAAUAGUGCUGAUAUUAGAAGAAUAACAGUAAAGACAAAAUAGAAUUUUAAAGGGUGAAUGGGAGUUAUGGUGGUGGAGUGAUGAGGACUGAAACCCUCAGACACCCCCUGAUUGCUGAUCUGGCUGACCCAGAGUUCUUGCAUCUGUUUCUGUACUUUUCCUCUCUUUCUUAAAAAAUCCCCAGUCCACCAGUACUUGGAGUGCUAUACUUGGCCUUUUCAUGACAUCGCAGAAGACAAUGGAAUAUAAAAAGUAGUUUUAGUCAAAAUUAAUAGCUACAUGUGUAAAAAUAUGUCAUCAAAAUGCUGGCUAUCAUAGUCAUCAUCAAUCAAUCAAUCAUCAUCAUCUAUAUUGUAAUUGAUUGCAGUUAGGUGGUCUCUGUUGUAAUCUCUAUUUUUCUAGAAAAAUGAACAAUUGGGAGAAUUGGAUAUUUGCCCGUUGGUCUUUGAAACAUGGUACUGGGAGUGAGCAAUGUUCACUUAGCAAGAAGAUGGAAAGAUCAGCACUUGCUUUCCUACCACGCCUUGGAAAUUUUUAUGUAAGGUCAUCCUAUAAGUAGAAUGGCUUGUCUUACUAUGGUGGACCACAUUUGCAUUUUAGCUUUGCUUACCUAGCUCCAGAUAUUCACCUGAUAUGAGAAAGUUAUUUUAAUGAAAAUAAUAUAUUUAAUAUGCUUGUGUAUUUAUACACAUAGAAAUGUAUAUUUAAAGGAACGAUUAAAAAUUACCCUUAUUCUUUCACAACCUCAGGCUGUAAAAUCUUUAUUAGGAAAUAGUGACAGUGUAACAACUUGAUUUAUUUUCUCCCACCAGGCUGAAGUUUUAUAUGAAUAUUAUCCAGUCACUAUAGCUUGGGACCUUAUCAUCUGACUGAUGGAUGAUGCAGGGAUGGAUAAUUUCAUAAGUUGUCUAGCCAGAGUUUAUUCAUUUUUCUAGUCAUUGAAAUGAGAAGACUUGAUAUGACUCCUAUUGAGAUACUUUCAAAGGCAACCAUCCUUGUAAUGGAUUUUCUCUGUCAGAAAAUUAGGUAUUGAUUUGCCUAUUUUUUUUUCCCUGUACUAGAACUUACCGACGGACUAAGGAUUCCUCUUCCAAUUAACCCAUUCAUGCCUGAGGUUGCAAUUUUUGGAAUUUUUGGAAUCAGACCUUGGUGAUGACCUUGAGCAGUAGGAUAUAAAUAAUUCCCACGUGCUUAGCAUUCCAAUAAUGGAACACCAGGCUUAAAUAGGUGAAGGGCCAUUAGCUUAUAGAAAACGAUAAUCGAAGACAACAAAACAGUAUUAUCCUGGGGGCUUAAAGAAAUUAAACUGAGCAUUGGAUGCGGUCAUCAAUAGGACAUUUCCCUUUCUUGUCUUUUCUGACUUCUCUAUCCAACCACAGGCUUUCAUCAUUGAGAAUGAAGUAGCCAGAAGGGAUAAUUACCAGAGAUAAUAACUUAUCUUUGAUUUUAAAACAUUAAGGAAUUUUUAUUAAGAUUUAUUAAUAAAUACAUUUAAUUUAGUUUGAUUAGAAUUAUAGCUUUAGCUUGGCCUAAAACUGCCCCACCUUUCUGGGAUCCUCCCUUCAGUUUUCUGACUCUUGGGCCACAUGUGUAUUUAGUUCUGUGACAAAGAGCCCUGGCUCCUUCAGGCACGAUGCCCACAUCAUCAAGGUUAGAGGCGAUUAUAACUGAUAUGGGUUGCAGUCUGUUCCUGUCCUUGUAAAUUCCGGAUUGUACUUGCUCACUCCUACUUUCUAUCUUAUCUUCUCUUCCUGAAGACCCAUGCUGUGGACUUCAAGCUCCAGCAUCAGGCACAAAGACAACAGCCUUACAAAGACUUUUUAACCAGCCCCCAUUGUGUAAGUUCAAAUCUCCAUAAUAAAUCCACUCCUCCCAAGCAAAACACACACACACACACACACACACACACACACACACACUUCCUAAUGGUUUUGCUUCUCCGAUUGAAUUAAUAUUACUAAUAUUAAUGUUGUUAUGCAGAUAUCAAAGACCUAGGUAGGAUUGUCUCAAGCUCUAUUCAUUCCCUGUAGAAGUCCAAAGUCCUCCCUAAGUUUUCUCCAAAUUCUGUGAAGUCCACAUUUUCACGGUCAUUUUUGGCACAUCUAAUUUGCACAAAAGACCCUACAAAGCACUUGUGAGUAUAAUGUAUUUAUUAAAACUUUUGGUGGCAUGAGGAGACAGAAGUGCAGUUCAUGUUGAAACAAAAAUAAUUUCAAAUUUAACUUGACUCAUCUUUAUUUGUAAAAUGUUUCUCCACUAUCCCAUCCUUAGCGAAUAGAUACCCUUCCCUCAUCCUAUAAAAUCCCCAGCUUCACAACAGCUCCUCGGUGCCUCUCUCCUUCCCCUUUUUCUCUUCUGCUUUCUGUUUCUCCCAAUACUCCCAUCCUCUUGUUUUCAAGUGCAGAGAAGCUUAACUAUCUCUCUUUUCUUUUAUGCUAAGAUUAUUGUGGAUGUACGUCCAUGUCCUCAGGAUCUAACCUUCUAUUCCCGAUGGCUAUUGUUCCAAGUCAAAUACUGUUGCAAUAGUUAAGAAAACAAAAAUGUUGCCUGGUUACAAUGGUAACAGGAGCAGGAAGCAUACAUUUAGUGCUUACUAUGAUCCAAACUCCAAGGGCUCUUUAUGUCUUGUCUCGUGAGAUUCCUACAAAAAUUCAGUGAAGCCUGGCAUUAUGAGUCCCAUUUUAACAAUCUUGAAAUUAGAUCAUAGAAAGUAAAAAAAACACAAAAGCAACUACAAAACCUAAUAUUUAUUGAGUUCUUAUACAUCAGGCACUGUUUUAAGCACUAAAUGUGUUUUGUUUUUAAAUUGACUCUUCACAACUCUACUAGUUAAAAAAAUUAUCCCCAUUUUACAGAUAAAGAAACUGAGACACAAAAUUAGGCAAUUUUCUCACAAUAAAUAAAAAGUGGUACUGUGUAUGGAAACCAGGCUGCUUGAAUCUGGAACUCAGAAUACCGUCUGACAAGGUAAGAAGGUGUUUAAAUGUUUCUCAUGUAGUCAGUUUCCUAACUCAACUUCAUGACACCUUUCCUGGCUGACCGAAUAUUUCAACCAUCCUUACGUUUUAUAUUUUUCAUCGCUGUUUAAUUUUUUCUCCAUGGUACUUAAUACUGACACAUAUUUUACUUAUUUAUUUUUUUUAAAUUUUCUGUCCCCACUACCAGGAUGUAAACUCCGUGAGGGCAGGGACAUUUCUGUCUGUUUUACUCACGAUUGCAUCUCCAGGGCUGAUAGGAAUGCCUUUCACAUAGUAGAUGCUCAAUAAGUAGUUACUGAAUGAAUCAAUAAAUGAAUAUAUGCAUGUAUGAAAAGCUGCUUACACAGAGGACAGGGCCUUCUUAUUAGGUUUUGCAGAUACGUCAGGAAAACCCCCUUUGAAUGGAGUUUGAAAAAGCUCUAAAUUGGUGGGCUUUAAAUGUGAUCAAACUCAUGUUGGGAGACCUUCAAAUACUGUGCUCAUUUUCAGGCCACCUCAUGUUCCCGUCUCUUCUCUGCCUCCCCUAGGUGUAUGUGUUUAAAUCUCUCCAUCCUGGUUUAACAGCCUUCUCUGUGGGCCUAUUCUCUAGAAAAUUCUUUGACUUGCCAGUUUACUUUUCCCAUUUAUAAGAUGGAGAUAAUUUUACUUCUAACAACUUCAGCAGGAUUUGGAAGAGAUCAUUGAGAUGAUAGGAAACCAAACAAAGUAUUGAAUCUUGGGAAGACUCUGGCUAUAGAAACAUAAAUGAAAAUUAAGAUAAAAUCCUUUUAAAAAAUUAUUGUUAGAAAUUACCUAGCAUGUAAAUUUAGAAUUUUUUUGUGUUUGUUUAAUGAGGAAGUUACUUUUUCAGUUUGAUUUUCUAUUUAGGUUGGUAAAAUGUAUUAAAAUUGUAUCAUGAAUUAACAGCAAAGAUAAUAUCUACUUAUUAAUUCAACAAACAUUAUCAAACAUUUUUUAUGCCAGACACCAUUUUAGUAUUAAAACAGCAAAAAUGUCAGUGAGAAAAACAGAACCCUGGAUUCUUGUAUCAUUCACAGAGAGAUGUUUUUUAGAGAUUGGUUAUUGUAUUAGCUUGUUAGGGUUGCCAUAACAAAGUACCACAGACUGGGUGCCUUAAACAACAAAAACUUAGUUUCUCACAAUUUUAAAGGCCAGCCAUCUGAGAUCAAGUUGUCAUCAGGGUUGGUUUCUCCCGAGGCUUCUCUCUUAGGCUUGUAGGCGGCCAUCUUCUUUUUCUGUCUUAAUGUGAUCUUUCCUCUGGGCCCAUCUAUGUCCAGAUUUCCUCUUCUUAUAAGGAUAUCAGUCGUUGAAUUAGAGCCUCACCUCAAUGACUUUGUUUUAACUUCAUCGCCUCUUUAAAGCCCUAUCUCCGAAUACGGUCACAUUCUGAGGUACUGGACAUUAGGGCUUCAAUAUAUGAAUUUUUGUGAGGACACAGUUUAGCCCAUAGCACUUCUUGUAUUGCCAAACUUUUUGGGUUUCAUUUUACUUGUUUAAAAUAACAGUGGUGCUUUCUAUACAUACCUGUUAUUAACACAUCACUUAGUGGUUUUCUUUCUUUAUGAGUAUUGCAACCAGGUGGAAAUAAACCUAGCUUUGGGAGUGACAGUAAUAUUAUCAGAGGUCCUAGAUGGACCAGACUUUGAUCAGCAUUACACAAACCCACCUAAAUGGACAAGGGAACUGUUUUCUAAGAUUUAAGCUUUUUGGAAAAUGAGUAUUGUACAGCUGAGCAUUUCUUAAAGGGACUACUAUAAUUAUUGGACCAUACUAAACUUUUGACUAGAUGGAAUUCAAAGUUAAUUUUCCUCUGGCCAACCAAUGUGUAGAAACUCGGAAGACAAGUUACAGGCAAAAUAGAGGAGUUAGAUCCCAGCACCAUCAUUAUUGUUGUCAACAUCAUUUUUACCAUGUCACAGUGGGUGCUUUUACUGUCUUUUCCUCUCCUUGUUCUACUUUCUUCCCAACAAGUUUGUGAGCUGCUUGUGGGUAGGAAGUAGUUUAAGACUGUUGUCCAUGUCCAUUUAUGCUUUGCAUGAUGCUGGGCACAGAGCCGGGGCUUGGUAAGCACUCAUUGACCAACUGCAAGCUGUUUGCUGAGCCUGACAGUCAGAGGAAUGGUGGUGGAAGAAGGAUAGUAGGGAAGGGCAUAGUUGACUGGCAUGGCACAGCGAAGAGUGAAUCCGUAGGUGGUUAUGGCACUCUUGGCCUUGAUCCAGCUAUUGAUGGAUGUCACUAUGGAGUUCUGAUGAGAAGAAAGAGAUGAUUUUGUAGCUGCAUGAAAAAUGAGCUUCAGAGCAGGAUUUCUCCAGUUUUAUGAAAUACAGACUUGUCAUGAUCUGCAAAGGAUGUGAAUUAUUAGUUUCUCCUCAGCUUUAAUCCACACAUCACCAUAGAAAACGCAAAUGGUGGCGAGUGGGUAGGGAGAGAAGUGGGAUCAAAACCGAGUUUCCACUUAUUUCCUCUGACAAUGGUUAUAGUAAAACAUUCUGACUAGGAAAAGAUUAAUCUCCGUUUGCAAAAUUAAAAAGAAAACAAAAAACAUGUGGAAAAUAUUAUGUUGAUGCAUGUUUUGCUGAACAGAUGGUGACGGUCCACAAACUUCUCAAGGAUUUCCCUUCGAGGAUGAAAGGAGAGCAUUUUAAUUUGGCUGAGUAACCUAGAGUCACUGAAUCUGUUAUGAUCUUGUCUGUCUCUUCUUACGGAAAUCCUUUUUAUUGCCAAAUUAUGGAUUUUUCUUCCAAUAAUUUUUAACAAAUUACUUUAAUCUGGAAUACCCAAUUAGCACACAAAUGUGAUGUUUCUUUUUCUGCUAGUUUAGUGUUUUUCUACAGGGAACACCUUAUCUUUGUAUUUUUACAUAUUUAUGAUUCUCAUUUUGAGUCCCUGAAAGCACAUCAGCUAUAAUGUGGACUGGCCACUUAUUCAAAUAUUUGUUUUACAGCUGGGGAAACCGAGGGCUGGAGGCUUCUGUGACCCUCCUCAACAUUUCACAAUGAGUCACAGCUGAAGAAACAUUAGAAAUGGAUUUCUUGACUCUGAAGUCAUUGACCUUUCACUAGCCUUUUUAGAAACUGUGAUUCUUGAUGUACUUGAACCUAUUUACUUGUGUAUUUUCUUUUUUUGUGCUCUCUCUCCUUUUUGAAGAGUCUAAAGAAGACAUAGGGAAGAGAUUUUCCUGUAGAGAUCCCCCUGAUUGCUGGUUUCCUUUGAAAUGAAACCACAGCUUUUCAAGUAGAACUUCGCAGAGGUUUAUAAGAGGAGUCUGCUACACAGCUGGAGGAGGAAGAGGAAUGAUUGGUUAUUAAUUUAGCACUGUCCUUAUGUCAUCAGUCAUUUCUUCUAUCGGGACAUUUUCUUCACUAGAAAAGAAAAAAAACGUUAAAAUUAAGGACAGCAAGCAGCGGCUGUUUACCAUUGAUUGAGGUUUGGAGACAGG